AUUGAACGCUGGCGGCAGGCCUAACACAUGCAAGUCGAAUGGUAACAGGAAACAGCUUGCUGUUUUGCUGACGAGUGGCGGACGGGUGAGUAAUGUCUGGGAAACUGCCUGAUGGAGGGGGAUAACUACUGGAAACGGUAGCUAAUACCGCAUAACGUCGCAAGCCCAAAGAGGGGGACCUUCGGGCCGCUUGCCAUCAGAUGUGCCCAGAUGGGAAUAGCUAGUAGGUGGGGUAACGGCUCACCUAGGCGACGAUCCCUAGCUGGUCUGAGAGGAUGACCAGCCACACUGGAACUGAGACACGGUCCAGACUCCUACGGGAGGCAGCAGUGGGGAAUAUUGCACAAUGGGCGCAAGCCUGAUGCAGCCAUGCCGCGUGUAUGAAGAAGGCCUUCGAGUUGUAAAGUACUUUCAGCGGGGAGGAAGGGAGUAAAGUUAAUACCUUUGCUCAUUGACGUUACCCGCAGAAGAAGCACCGGCUAACUCCGUG
Molecule: ribosomal RNA, 490 nt
Filed under: uncultured bacterium
Lineage: Bacteria
Description: partial 16S ribosomal RNA
Rfam family: Bacterial small subunit ribosomal RNA
Source: RNAcentral